GUGGGAUUAUCAUUAGUUCUUGUAGGUUUGGGAUAGGCGGUGGAGUUAGGAGCAAUGUUUUGCAGGCAGGGGGUGGAUCUCACAAAGUACAUUCUCAAGGGUGGGAUUACAAAGAAUUACGAAGAACCUUCUUAAGGGUGGGAGAGAUUACAAAGUACAUUGAUCAGUUAGGAUGGGGCAGAAACAAAUCACAAUGGUGGAAUGUCAUCAGUUAAGGCUAUUUUCACUUCCUUUGUGGAUCUUCAGUUGCUUCAGGCCAUCUGGAUGUAUACGUGCAGGUCCCUGGGGAUAUGAUGGCUUAGCUUGGGCUCAGAGGCCUGACACUUGCACAUAAACUGUUUUUUUUUUCUUUCAAUAGUUUUACAUUUAGGAGGCCUAGUUACUUUUAAAUUAUACAACAUUUCUUGCAUAAUUUUUUAUAACAUUUUUCUCUUUCACGACUUUCGCAGACAAUUCUUCGACAUGCCUCAACUUUCUGACUUAUUACAAACAUUUCUUUCUUUAAACAACCAGUUAAUUUAUUUCAGGACAAGAAUUUACCAUAUAACACUCUUUUUAUGUAAAUUCUGCCCCUUCUUUUUUUUUUUCCUGAAGAUGAUAACCAUUCUUUUCCAAAGCGAACUUCUUUUAUGUCUGUGGACUAGACUGUCUGAGGCCACAAGAUCAGAAAUUACUAUAAUACAUGUUACACUGUUAACUUUUAGCAAACUUUACUUUUGUUGAAAACCUUGUAAGCUUGGGAUUUUAAUUAUCCUUUGCUAUUAGUAAGACCUCGUUUUGUCAAAAUUAACUUAGAAUUCGUAUAGAUGGCUUUUUUUUUUUCCUUUAAUUACCUGGGAGGAACCAUAGAUCAUCCUUUCCUGAAGGGAGUUCCUCCUAGGUAUGGUAGGGCCUUUGUACGGUAAUUAAGAUUUAGAUCCCCUGUUAGGAAACCUGCUGGGUUAAGGGAAUUUUCAGUAGUUAAAGUUAAAUCAUCCUUUUUUUUUUUUCCUUAGGCUACUUCUGAACUGGUGAGGUGUGCUCACAAUGAGGUUUCCUGUAAAAGUUAUUUUUUUACUUUUUUCUGUUAGCAAAGCAGUUGCAGCUACAGAUUGAAUGCAUUUGAGCCAUCCACGGGUUACUGGGUUAAGGAUUUUUGAUGGGAAGGCCUCAGUGCUUUCGGGAUAUGCCCUUGUUUACACUGACAACAAAGUGGUAUUGGAGUGUUACAGGGUUACAGAGAAUACUUUCAAUUAUCAAUUAUAGGUUUUAAAUUUAUCUUGGCUUUUAAAGGAAUAGGGUACAGUGUUGUUGUUGUUUCUAACUACUUGUAUAUAUAUCUCUUUUUUUCUUUUUUUCCUCUUGAUUUUCUGUCUCUUUCUCUUUGACUUUCCUUUU
Molecule: long non-coding RNA, 1377 nt
Filed under: Homo sapiens (human)
Lineage: Eukaryota; Metazoa; Chordata; Mammalia; Primates; Hominidae
Description: HSALNT0246090
Source: RNAcentral